RNAcentral lists this ribosomal RNA (751 nucleotides) under uncultured Thelephoraceae. Its description in RNAcentral is "eukaryotic LSU rRNA". The stretch from base 218 to 372 matches the Rfam family "5.8S ribosomal RNA". Lineage: Eukaryota; Fungi; Basidiomycota; Agaricomycetes; Thelephorales; Thelephoraceae. The record is from RNAcentral.
AGGAUCAUUACCGAAUUGCCAACAUGAGUUGUUGCUGGCCCUCAAAUGGGGGGCACGUGCACGCUCUGUUCGCACAUCCACUCACACCUGUGCACCUUCUGUAGUUCUAUGGCCUGGGGGACUCUGUUCUCCUGCGCUGUGGUUCUAUAUCUUUACACACACACACACUGCAAUAAAGUCUCAUGGAAUGUACACCGCGUUUAACGCAAUACAAUACAACUUUCAGCAACGGAUCUCUUGGCUCUCGCAUCGAUGAAGAACGCAGCGAAAUGCGAUAAGUAAUGUGAAUUGCAGAAUUCAGUGAAUCAUCGAAUCUUUGAACGCACCUUGCGCCCUUUGGUCAAUCCGAAGGGCAUGCCUGUUUGAGUAUCAUGAACACCUCAACUCUCAUGGUUCGCCAUGAUGGGCUUGGACUUUGGAGGUCUUGCUGGCCCUGUGGUCAGCUCCUCUCAAAUGAAUCAGCUUGCCAGUGUUUGGUGGCAUCACAGGUGUGAUAACUAUCUACGCCUGUGGUUUUCCGCCGGAUAACCUUCAGCAAUGGAGGUCCACUGGAGCUCAUAAACGUCUCUCCUCGGUGAGGACAACUAUUUGAAUGUUUGAUCUCAAAUCAGGUAGGACUACCCGCUGAACUUAAGCAUAUCAAUAAGCGGAGGAAAAGAAACUAACAAGGAUUCCCCUAGUAACUGCGAGUGAAGCGGGAAGAGCUCAAAUUUAAAAUCUGGCGUGCCUCUGGUCGUCCGAGUUGUAGUCU